UACGUAGGGUGCAAGCGUUAAUCGGAAUUACUGGGCGUAAAGCGUGCGCAGGCGGUUAUGUAAGACAGAUGUGAAAUCCCCGGGCUCAACCUGGGAACUGCAUUUGUGACUGCAUAGCUGGAGUACGGUAGAGGGGGAUGGAAUUCCGCGUGUAGCAGUGAAAUGCGUAGAUAUGCGGAGGAACACCGAUGGCGAAGGCAAUCCCCUGGGCCUGCACUGACGCUCAUGCACGAAAGCGUGGGGAGCAAACGGG
Molecule: ribosomal RNA, 253 nt
Filed under: uncultured bacterium
Lineage: Bacteria
Description: partial 16S ribosomal RNA
Rfam family: Bacterial small subunit ribosomal RNA
Source: RNAcentral